CACGCCGUAAACGAUGUACGCUAGAUCGGUGCGGUUUUGACGCCGUAUCGGUCGACGUGAAAACGAUAAGCGUACCGCCUGGGGAGUACGGUCGCAAGGCUAAAACUCAAAUGAAUUGACGGGGGCUCACACAAGCGGUGGAGCAUGUUGCUUAAUUCGAGGCAACGCGAAGAACCUUACCUGGGCUUGACAUGGCCGGAUUAAGUCCAUGAAAGUGGAACUAGGCCCGCAAGGGUACAACGGUCACAGGUGC
Molecule: ribosomal RNA, 253 nt
Filed under: uncultured bacterium
Lineage: Bacteria
Description: partial 16S ribosomal RNA
Rfam family: Bacterial small subunit ribosomal RNA
Source: RNAcentral